GCUGCCCUAUCCCUUCCCCAUUUUCACUUCUUCUCGCUGCAUUCCUUCUCCUCUCCUCCUUCUUUCCUUCUCUUUCUCUUCUCCCCUUCUCCUCUCUCCUUUUCCCUUUCUUCUUUUCUCCUAUUCUCCUUCAUUUCCCUUUCAUUUCCCCCUUGUUCUUUCCGGCAUCUCUUUCUUCUUUUCUCCCCUUCCUUCUUUUCAUUUCAUCUUCUUACCAUGCUUUUUUUAUCCACUUCAUCCAAUUCCUCCAUCACUCUCUCCAUGACAGUCGCCGAUCUCAUCUCCCCAUCUUCUCUCUCUAGUACGACAACACAUGAUUUACGUCAAACACCAGAAAUGUCUCACUUUCCUGCUCCUGUUUUCUAUUAUGUGUAAGGGAUUUUGCCUAUCUGAGGUAAUUAGUGAGGGAAUUUUUUUCAACUUUUUCGAGUUAACUAAAAAUUUGUAGUUCCCUAAUUUUAUUAUGGUUUUGUAGUUUUUGUGCAAUUCAAUCUAUUUUUAUGACUAAUUUGCUAAUUAUCAAACUUCUCACACAUUGUUCUAUUUGAACCACAUUUAUUUUAUCUAAUUUGUUAAUAUUUAGUGAUGUUUUUAGCAUCAAUUGCCAUUGAGAUUUUGUUAAUUCAUGUUUUCUCAUGUGAUGGAUUGUUGUUCUGCAGUGAAGAGCACCGAAAGAAGAAGAAGAAAAGAGAAUAGGGGUAGGGAAAGGAGAAAGGUAACACCGACGAAAAAAAGAAGAAAAGGAAAAGAAGAUAGGAAAAAGGAAAGUCAUCAUUAUGUUUUCUUUAACCACAAGCUGGUGGUCUAGUGGUAAAAUGCGGAUUACGAGGCUUCUUUAAAACUAAAAAGUGGAGGUCUCGGGUUCAAAAUUCGCUGCUGGAGUGAAAGCUAGAAUUGUGGCUAGGAGGAGGCUGAAAUGCCUCUGUAAGUCUUCCUGGUCCCCGGCAGGAGUAGAUAACCGUGACUUGCCACCAGUUGUCCCUUUUUAAAAAAUAAUAAUAAUUAUUAUGUUUUCUUUAUUUUGUUUAUAAACACUUUGUAUAAUGAGAUAUAUUGCUGAAGAACAUUACCAAUGGAAGCAUUUAUGUCAGAUAUGGAUUUUUAAUUUUUAAUUUUUUAAAUGAGCAUGGGUGUCGGAUAAAGGAGCAUUUUUGUUUAUUUUUAUUUUUAUUCAAAACAUAAAUUUAGUUUAUAUUCUUUUAUAUUUUUAUAUUUUUUUAUUAUGUCGGUUAUAUGUGACAACAUUGUUUUUAUAUCCAACGGGAUUUCUCAACAAUUGAUGUCGCCUAUAACCGAGGGGAGUAUUAAUGUCACUUGUAUCCGAUACUAUUUUCUUGGCGGAUUAAGAGUCAUAUCUGACAGCAAAGGCCUUUUUGUUACGCAAGAAUUGUUGUCAGUAAUUUUAUCCGCCACUACAUGAAUUUUUGUCGAUUUUUUGCUAAUAUCCGACAUAAAUAGGUUUUUCUUGUCAUUUUUUAGAAUGAUACUACUGAGUACUUUUGUAGUAGUGACAUAAAGUCAUCGCGGUAGAGCGAGACCACAUCAAGUCACCGUUGACAGACGAGACUACAUAACGCAUCACACAAAGGCGAAGACCAAUCUAACGAAAACAGUAGCGCCACCACGGUGCACAUAAGGAGAGUGAAAACAACUACACUACUCCGAGAAGGAAUCCACCGGUCCGCUCAACAUAGAGGGGGACAAGGCACACAGGCUAAGACCACAUAUAAAUUCGCCUGAGUGAGGUACUAGCAUCCACACAUCGUGCACCAAAAGGGCUAGC
This 1783-nucleotide long non-coding RNA is filed under the name Malus domestica (apple). RNAcentral's name for it is "long non-coding RNA (MDOM_LNC007076)". Lineage: Eukaryota; Viridiplantae; Streptophyta; Magnoliopsida; Rosales; Rosaceae. The record is from RNAcentral.